RNAcentral lists this ribosomal RNA (325 nucleotides) under uncultured Bacillota bacterium. Its description in RNAcentral is "bacterial SSU rRNA". It matches the Rfam family "Bacterial small subunit ribosomal RNA", at positions 28 to 351 of the family's 1533-position model. The record is from RNAcentral. Lineage: Bacteria; Bacillati; Bacillota.
GACGAACGCUGGCGGCGUGCCUAACGCAUGCAAGUCGAGCGAGGUGUUCCCGCAAGGGGGCAUCGAGCGGCGAACGGGUGAGUAACACGUGGGUAAUCUGCCUAUGAGACGGGGAUAGCCCCGGGAAACUGGGGUUAAUACCGGAUGUGAUCCAGGUGGCGCAUGCUACAUGGAGGAAAGGGCGCAAGCCGCUCAUAGAUGAGCCCGCGGCCCAUUAGCUAGUUGGCAGGGUAAAAGCCUACCAAGGCGACGAUGGGUAGCCGGUCUGAGAGGAUGGCCGGCCACACUGGGACUGAGACACGGCCCAGACUCCUACGGGUGGCUG